GUGUCAGCCGCCGCGGUAAUACGUAGGGGGCGAGCGUUGUCCGGAAUCAUUGGGCGUAAAGCGCGUGUAGGCGGCUUGCCAAGUCCGGUGUGAAAACUGAGGGCUCAACCCUCAGCCUGCACUGGAAACUGGCUUGCUAGAGUCCGGAAGAGGGGACUGGAAUUCCUGGUGUAGCGGUGAAAUGCGCAGAUAUCAGGAAGAACACCCGUGGCGAAGGCGGGUCCCUGGGACGGUACUGACGCUGAGACGCGAAAGCGUGGGGAGCAAACAGGAUUAGAUACCCUGGUAGUCCACGCCGUAAACGAUGGGCACUAGGUGUGGGAGGUGUCGACUCCUCCCGUGCCGUAGCUAACGCAUUAAGUGCCCCGCCUGGGGAGUACGGCCGCAAGGCUAAAACUCAAAUGAAUUGACGGGG
This 415-nucleotide ribosomal RNA is filed under the name uncultured prokaryote. RNAcentral describes it as "bacterial SSU rRNA". It matches the Rfam family "Bacterial small subunit ribosomal RNA", at positions 505 to 918 of the family's 1533-position model. The record is from RNAcentral.